This 465-nucleotide ribosomal RNA is filed under the name uncultured Klebsiella sp. RNAcentral describes it as "bacterial SSU rRNA". It matches the Rfam family "Bacterial small subunit ribosomal RNA", at positions 338 to 795 of the family's 1533-position model. Lineage: Bacteria; Pseudomonadati; Pseudomonadota; Gammaproteobacteria; Enterobacterales; Enterobacteriaceae. The record is from RNAcentral.
CCUACGGGUGGCAGCAGUGGGGAAUAUUGCACAAUGGGCGCAAGCCUGAUGCAGCCAUGCCGCGUGUGUGAAGAAGGCCUUCGGGUUGUAAAGCACUUUCAGCGGGGAGGAAGGCGUUAAGGUUAAUAACCUUGUCGAUUGACGUUACCCGCAGAAGAAGCACCGGCUAACUCCGUGCCAGCAGCCGCGGUAAUACGGAGGGUGCAAGCGUUAAUCGGAAUUACUGGGCGUAAAGCGCACGCAGGCGGUCUGUCAAGUCGGAUGUGAAAUCCCCGGGCUCAACCUGGGAACUGCAUUCGAAACUGGCAGGCUAGAGUCUUGUAGAGGGGGGUAGAAUUCCAGGUGUAGCGGUGAAAUGCGUAGAGAUCUGGAGGAAUACCGGUGGCGAAGGCAGCCCCCUGGACAAAGACUGACGCUCAGGUGCGAAAGCGUGGGGAGCAAACAGGAUUAGAUACCCGAGUAGUC